UAGGGAAUCUUCGGCAAUGGGGGCAACCCUGACCGAGCAACGCCGCGUGAGUGAAGAAGGUUUUCGGAUCGUAAAGCUCUGUUGUAAGAGAAGAACGUGUGUGGGAGUGGAAAGUUCACACAGUGACGGUAACUUACCAGAAAGGGACGGCUAACUACGUGCCAGCAGCCGCGGUAAUACGUAGGUCCCGAGCGUUGUCCGGAUUUAUUGGGCGUAAAGCGAGCGCAGGCGGUUUAAUAAGUCUGAAGUUAAAGGCAGUGGCUUAACCAUUGUUCGCUUUGGAAACUGUUAAACCUGAGUGCAGAAGGGGAGAGUGGAAUUCCAUGUGUAGCGGUGAAAUGCGUAGAUAUAUGGAGGAACACCGGUGGCGAAAGCGGCUCUCUGGUCUGUAACUGACGCUGAGGCUCGAAAGCGUGGGGAGCAAACAGG
This 429-nucleotide ribosomal RNA is filed under the name bacterium. RNAcentral describes it as "partial 16S ribosomal RNA". It matches the Rfam family "Bacterial small subunit ribosomal RNA", at positions 355 to 776 of the family's 1533-position model. The record is from RNAcentral.